Molecule: small RNA, 28 nt
Filed under: Bombyx mori (domestic silkworm)
Lineage: Eukaryota; Metazoa; Arthropoda; Insecta; Lepidoptera; Bombycidae
Description: ovarian small RNA-33664
Source: RNAcentral
UGCCACCUUCUACGCCUAUAGCGUCUAC